GAUGAACGCUAGCGGCAGGCUUAACACAUGCAAGUCGAGGGGUAACAGGGAAGAGCUUGCUUUUCCGCUGACGACCGGCGCACGGGUGAGUAACGCGUAUAGAACCUACCUUUUACAGGGGAAUAGCCCAGAGAAAUUUGGAUUAAUGCCCUAUAGUAUUAUUGAAUGGCAUCAUUUAGUAAUUAAACAUUUAUGGGUAAAAGAUGGCUAUGCGUUCUAUUAGCUAGAUGGUAAGGUAACGGCUUACCAUGGCAACGAUAGAUAGGGGUCCUGAGAGGGAGAUCCCCCACACUGGUACUGAGACACGGACCAGACUCCUACGGGAGGCAGCAGUGAGGAAUAUUGGACAAUGGAGGCAACUCUGAUCCAGCCAUGCCGCGUGCAGGAAGACGGCCCUAUGGGUUGUAAACUGCUUUUAUACGGGAAGAAACCCAACUACGUGUAGUUGGCUGACGGUACCGUAAGAAUAAGCACCGGCUAACUCCGUGCCAGCAGCCGCGGUAAUACGGAGGGUGCAAGCGUUAUCCGGAAUCAUUGGGUUUAAAGGGUCCGUAGGCGGGCUAAUAAGUCAGGGGUGAAAUCCAACAGCUUAACUGUUGAACUGCCUUUGAUACUGUUAGUCUUGAAUUAUAUGGAAGUAGAUAGAAUGUGUAGUGUAGCGGUGAAAUGCUUAGAGAUUACACAGAAUACCGAUUGCGAAGGCAGUCUACUACGUAUAUAUUG
Molecule: ribosomal RNA, 723 nt
Filed under: Lutibacter sp.
Lineage: Bacteria; Pseudomonadati; Bacteroidota; Flavobacteriia; Flavobacteriales; Flavobacteriaceae
Description: bacterial SSU rRNA
Rfam family: Bacterial small subunit ribosomal RNA
Source: RNAcentral